GGGGACUAUGAAACUUUGUGAUGAGAAGCAAGCUUCUGGGUUCUCUGGCUGCCUAACAUUUAUGCCUUUCAGAUCCUGCAGGAUAAAGCUCACAGAAAGACUUUAUUCCCAUUGCAUUCACAUGCAAAAACCUGUCAGGCAGCGAAAAAGGAAAUAUCACCACCAUGCCUCGCUGCUGAGGAGAACAGAGGCCAAGGACUCACCUUACAGAUGAGAGAGGAAAGGACCACCCUAAAUCUCCUGGCCAGGAGGUGGGACUCUGGGUAUGGCAUCGGAGGAUCUACAGCAUGCCCUUCCUGGCCACCAGCUGCCGGGGCUUGAGUUACAACACAACAGCCUUGCCAAGUUUUAAAUAAAUUGGAUUUAAAAUGGCACAAAGCAAAUGCUAUUUUGACUAUGACAAUGAUAAUUAAAAUCCUUCAAAUUCAAGGAACUUAGGAGAGAACUUCCGAGUGCAAGACUGCAUAGGGAAAUAUAAAGAUGUGAAGAGAUGGCC
This 496-nucleotide long non-coding RNA is filed under the name Fukomys damarensis (Damara mole-rat). Its description in RNAcentral is "lncRNA (ENSFDAG00000027274.1)". The record is from RNAcentral. Lineage: Eukaryota; Metazoa; Chordata; Mammalia; Rodentia; Bathyergidae.